UGGGGAAUAUUGCACAAUGAGCGCAAGCCUGAUGCAGCCAUGCCGCGUGUAUGAAGAAGGCCUUCGGGUUGUAAAGUACUUUCAGCGGGGAGGAAGGUGUUGAGGUUAAUAACCUCAGCAAUUGACGUUACCCGCAGAAGAAGCACCGGCUAACUCCGUGCCAGCAGCCGCGGUAAUACGGAGGGUGCAAGCGUUAAUCGGAAUUACUGGGCGUAAAGCGCACGCAGGCGGUCUGUCAAGUCGGAUGUGAAAUCCCCGGGCUCAACCUGGGAACUGCAUUCGAAACUGGCAGGCUAGAGUCUUGUAGAGGGGGGUAGAAUUCCAGGUGUAGCGGUGAAAUGCGUAGAGAUCUGGAGGAAUACCGGUGGCGAAGGCGGCCCCCUGGACAAAGACUGACGCUCAGGUGCGAAAGCGUGGGGAGCAAACA
RNAcentral lists this ribosomal RNA (427 nucleotides) under uncultured bacterium. RNAcentral's name for it is "partial 16S ribosomal RNA". It matches the Rfam family "Bacterial small subunit ribosomal RNA", at positions 355 to 774 of the family's 1533-position model. The record is from RNAcentral.